RNAcentral lists this long non-coding RNA (304 nucleotides) under Neodiprion lecontei (redheaded pine sawfly). RNAcentral describes it as "uncharacterized LOC124293604". The record is from RNAcentral. Lineage: Eukaryota; Metazoa; Arthropoda; Insecta; Hymenoptera; Diprionidae.
CAAUUUUUUGUAGUGGGUGUAUAGCUAUAAAACGAAGAAGAAGAAAAAGAAUUUUAUAGUGAAUCCCGGUGCAGACUUGCAAAAAAAUGCGCGUGAAAGGGACAACCUUUGAUCUUCAAAGUUCAAAAGAGCAACUUUAGUUCUAUUUACUGGCUGUAUUUAUAAUGUACUGAAUAUUUUUACGUAGACAAAUUUUCAUAAGUAUUAUCGUAACUAUAAGACUGACGCUUAGUACAAUUACGUACAUAUCAGUAUUUUCAUGAGUAAGUGAGGGGUUUAAAAAUAAAAUGAGAACCAAUGAUAA